UGGGGAAUAUUGGACAAUGGGGGGAACCCUGAUCCAGCCAUGCCGCGUGUGUGAAGAAGGCCUUAUGGUUGUAAAGCACUUUAAGCGAGGAGGAGGGUACUGGUAUUAAUACUACCAGCUACUGGACGUUACUCGCAGAAUAAGCACCGGCUAACUCUGUGCCAGCAGCCGCGGUAAUACAGAGGGUGCAAGCGUUAAUCGGAAUUACUGGGCGUAAAGCGCGCGUAGGUGGUUCGUUAAGUUGAAUGUGAAAGCCCCGGGCUCAACCUGGGAACUGCAGCCAAAACUGGCGGGCUAGAGUAGGGCAGAGGGUGGUGGAAUUUCCUGUGUAGCGGUGAAAUGCGUAGAUAUAGGAAGGAACACCAGUGGCGAAGGCGACCACCUGGGCUCAUACUGACACUGAGGUGCGAAAGCGUGGGGAGCAAACAGG
Molecule: ribosomal RNA, 430 nt
Filed under: Pseudomonadota bacterium
Lineage: Bacteria; Pseudomonadati; Pseudomonadota
Description: Proteobacteria bacterium partial 16S ribosomal RNA
Rfam family: Bacterial small subunit ribosomal RNA
Source: RNAcentral